UUGUCCUUAGUUACCAGCACGUUAUGGUGGGCGACUCUAAGGAGACUGCCGGUGACAAACCGGAGGAAGGUGGGGAUGACGUCAAGUCAUCAUGGCCCUUACGGCCUGGGCUACACACGUGCUACAAUGGUCGGUACAAGGGUUGCCAAGCCGCGAGGUGGAGCUAAUCCCAUAAAACCGAUCGUAGUCCGGAUCGCAGUCUGCAACUCGACUGCGUGAAGUCGGAAUCGCUAGUAAUCGUGAAUCAGAAUGUCACGGUGAAUACGUUCCCGGGCCUU
RNAcentral lists this ribosomal RNA (278 nucleotides) under uncultured Pseudomonas sp. Its description in RNAcentral is "partial 16S ribosomal RNA". It matches the Rfam family "Bacterial small subunit ribosomal RNA", at positions 1105 to 1382 of the family's 1533-position model. Lineage: Bacteria; Pseudomonadati; Pseudomonadota; Gammaproteobacteria; Pseudomonadales; Pseudomonadaceae. The record is from RNAcentral.